AUGCCUAACACAUGCAAGUCGAACGGAGCUAGAACAGAAGCUUGCUUUAUUUUAGCUUAGUGGCGGACGGGUGAGUAACGCGUGAGAAACCUGCCCUGAAGUGGGAAUAACGGCGAGAAAUCGGCGCUAAUACCGCAUAAUGUCGGAGAUCCGCAUGUUUUCCGACCAAGGAUUUAUUCGUCUUUAGGAUGGUCUCGCGUCCGAUUACGUUAGUUGUGGGGUAACGGCCUACCCAAGACCGCGAUCGGUAGCCGAACUGAGAGGUUGAUCGGCCACAUUGGGACUGAGACACGGGCCCAGACUCCUACGGGAGGCAGCAGUGGGGAAUAUUGGGCAAUGGGCGAAAGCCUGACCCAGCAAUGCCGCGUGAAGGAUGAAGGUCCUCCGGAUUGUAAACUUCUUUGAUUGGGAAGAAUAAAUGACCUACCCAAAGAACAAGUCACGGCUAACUACGUGCC
Molecule: ribosomal RNA, 458 nt
Filed under: uncultured bacterium
Lineage: Bacteria
Description: bacterial SSU rRNA
Rfam family: Bacterial small subunit ribosomal RNA
Source: RNAcentral